Zingiber officinale is the source of this 1709-nucleotide long non-coding RNA. RefSeq lists it as uncharacterized. The record is from RefSeq and is a predicted model, not a curated record. NCBI's taxonomy places the organism in Eukaryota, Viridiplantae, Streptophyta, Magnoliopsida, Zingiberales, Zingiberaceae. The transcript is spliced from 2 exons.
CUAUUCUGCAUUUUGUGAGCUUCUACUAUUUAAUUGUAAAAUUAUUGUAUUUGUUUAGUUGCAUGUCUGUAUCGUGCUCUUUUACUCGUUUGCACAAAGUUGUGGAGGUUUGUUGGCUUGGCAAAUGCAUCUGAAAUACAGUGUCAGUGUCUACCUUCUAAGUGGUGAUCCUUCUACUUUGGUUUCUUCACAUCCGACAAUAGUCAUAUUGGCGUAUAUGUUCGGAACAAUAUCUCCCAUAAAAUAGUGAAUUGGUAAUAUUUACUAUCAAAUUUUACUUGAUGGACUGGCUUGGGUGGUGAAUCAUAAUAACAUUACAAAUGCCUAACACUUGGUUUUUCUUGUGCCAGAUUUGCUUUAAACAGCUGCAUUAGAAAUUUUCUUGGAUUAAUUUUCAACAUUAUAGUUCAAAAUUUGUGUUAUUCUAAGUUAUACGUUAGGUUUUAAUUGCAAAUUGUAUUCAAUAUAUUAAACUCUUAGUCAACAGAUGCUGACUCCAAUUUCCUAAGCUUGGCAUGUGGCACCUGCACAUGCAUCUAUGGGCACGUGUGGGCUUCAUUUGUCAGACCUGCACUUAGACUCGACCAUGGUUCGAACUGCUGUUCAACGAUUCCAAGAAGAUCGACCCUUAAUCUUAACCGUCCAAGACGGUUACGGUCACAUUUCAUGACGGUUCAAUAUUAUUAUUAUUUUAUUUUAUUAAAAAUAUUUUCAAAAAAAAUUUGGUUAGUUAGGCUGGUAAUUAAAAUGUCGAGCACAAGCCCAAGACUGAGCGUUUGCUGGUGUUGGUCCUUGCUUUGUCGGAGUUGAUCCCAACCUCACUUGGCGACAGAGAAGUACUCUCGGAAACAAGAUGAGAGCGGUGACGUCAACGACCCAGGCCUGGACCUAAUAUGCAUGCUUUCCCUCACACUCAUCUGCUACCACCCAGCGGCCAACUUUCGUCACUCGCCACAAUAGGAAUUAGAAGUCGCAUAGGCCAACUUCACCCAUCGGCAUGUGUAGCAACCCCAUCGCCGCUUCACGUCGUCGUCCUGCUAGAAAGGUGACGCCGUUUUAUCUUUGUUUCCCAUGGCGGCUCUUGCUUUUUCCACUGAUCCAGACCGCUAAACCCUCGAUCUCUCAGCCCCUUCGUUGGUGAUCCAUGGUUGUCGCUCGUAUGCUGCUGCAUCUAGUGAUCAGGAAGGCGACAGCUACACCAUCUUCAUCACUCCCUCAUCGACCACACCUAAAAUUCAACUAGUCAACCUAAUAGUUAAAAAAAACACAGUUGAAUUGCCGGUUCACAUUGUUGGUUCACAGUUAUUUUUGAAGUUGAACCGGCCUGACCUACCCUAGGCAGGCCAGUUCCAGUUUCAGUCCGUUUAACUGGGUCAAUGGGUAACCAACUAGUUGACUUUGUUGCGGGUCCAGGCCGGGUCUGGUUCGGACCCGGUCCGGGGUUGGGUCUACCUUCACUCAUCAGUAAAAAAAAAUUGGAUUAAACUUUCAAUCUUGUAGUUCAACAUUUGUGUUAUUUUAAGCUGCACAUUGGGUUUUAACUACAAAUUAUAACAAUAUGUUAAACUCUGAGUCAACGGGCGUUGACUCCAGUUUUGUAAGCAUGACAUGUGGCAGCUGUUCAUGCAUCUAUGAUCGUGUGUGGGCUGAGCUCAUCUGUGAGGCCUUCACUCAUCAAAAAAAAAAAAAAAAAAAAAAAAAAAAAAAGA